AUACGGAGGGUGCAAGCGUUACUCGGAAUCACUGGGCGUAAAGGGUGCGUAGGCUGACUUUUAAGUCAGGUGUGAAAUCCAAUGGCUCAACCAUUGAACUGCACUUGAAACUGGGAGUCUAGAGUUCAGAAGGGGCAGAUGGAAUUAGUGGUGUAGGGGUAAAAUCCGUAGAUAUCACUAGGAAUAUCAAAAGCGAAGGCGAUCUGCUGGGAUGAUACUGACGCUGAGGCACGAAAGCGUGGGGAGC
This 247-nucleotide ribosomal RNA is filed under the name uncultured bacterium. RNAcentral's name for it is "partial 16S ribosomal RNA". It matches the Rfam family "Bacterial small subunit ribosomal RNA", at positions 523 to 769 of the family's 1533-position model. The record is from RNAcentral.